GGGGAAUAUUGCGCAAUGGGGGAAACCCUGACGCAGCAACGCCGCGUGAGUGAAGAAGGCCUUCGGGUUGUAAAGCUCUUUAAUCAGGGACGAAGAAUGACGGUACCUGAAGAAUAAGCUCCGGCUAACUAC
Molecule: ribosomal RNA, 132 nt
Filed under: uncultured bacterium
Lineage: Bacteria
Description: partial 16S ribosomal RNA
Rfam family: Bacterial small subunit ribosomal RNA
Source: RNAcentral